RNAcentral lists this transfer RNA (66 nucleotides) under Macoma balthica. Its description in RNAcentral is "Limecola balthica tRNA-Pro". The record is from RNAcentral. Lineage: Eukaryota; Metazoa; Mollusca; Bivalvia; Cardiida; Tellinidae.
CAGGUUGUAGUUUAAUAAAAAUAUAGGCUUUGGAAGUCUUUGAUUCUACUCAUAUAGACGUCCUGA